Trichomycterus rosablanca is the source of this 694-nucleotide long non-coding RNA. RefSeq lists it as uncharacterized. NCBI's taxonomy places the organism in Eukaryota, Metazoa, Chordata, Actinopteri, Siluriformes, Trichomycteridae. The record is from RefSeq and is a predicted model, not a curated record. The transcript is spliced from 3 exons.
UUUGUGUGUGUCAUGUCAGUUCACUCCAGGUGUAAGCCCCAAACAGCAGCAGCAGGCAGAACAAAUGCACCAGGCUUGAGCCAAUCAGAUCCCAGAUAUGCCAGGAACAGGUUGAUUCCUGACAGGGACUGAGGCUCUCGCUCGCCGCCUUUUCUUGCUCCUGUAUUUCUCCAACCAUCCCAGCGUCCUUUUCAUUUAAAGCCUUUAUCUCCAGAGAUACCAGCGCUCGGACCGUGACCCAGACCGGCCUCAGCGAACACUGCAGAAUAUCAUAUGCUGAACAAACUGAUGACUAAGAGAGGUGACGGAGGAAGGGAAUCGGAAAAAUAGAAAUAAAAUAUGCAAAAGAAAAGAAAUAGCAAAGAAGCAGAAGUUAGAUGCCAUGUAUGGAGAGGGGCAGAUGAACAAUGAGAAGGAGGAAUGAAUGAGAACAGAAAAAGAACAAGCCUUUGACGAAAAUCAGAAGCAGGACAAAGACUGUUAAAAAAUUUACAUCAGGAGUUCAACACCAGGUGGAGCCUUAAGUCCCGGAUAUUAUGACAAUGCAUCAGAAGAGGAGGAGUAUGUUAUGCAAGACAAGGCUUGAGAAAGAGAUCCAAAAGACUAAACAAGACGAUGGCAAGAUUUAAGGUGUGAUAAGUGGGGGACGGAAGAGGACAACAUUGCUCUACAUAGAAUGUCCCAAAUAAAAUCA